RNAcentral lists this ribosomal RNA (244 nucleotides) under uncultured bacterium. RNAcentral's name for it is "partial 16S ribosomal RNA". It matches the Rfam family "Bacterial small subunit ribosomal RNA", at positions 15 to 263 of the family's 1533-position model. The record is from RNAcentral.
GAUCCUGGCUCAGGACGAACGCUGGCGGCGUGCUUCAUACAUGCAAGUCGAACGAGAAGCUUACUUCGGUAAGUGGAAAGUGGCGGACGGGUGAGUAAUGUGUAGAGAAUCUGCCCUUGAGCGGGGGACAACAGCUGGAAACGGUUGCUAAUACCCCAUAUGAGGUAAGUUGAAAUACUUAUCUUGAAAACUCCGGUGCUCAAGGAUGAGUCUGCAUCUGAUUAGCUAGUUGGCGGUGUAAUGG